GUAGUCCUGGCUGUAAACGAUGUCGACUUGGAGGUUGUGCCCUUGAGGCGUGGCUUCCGGAGCUAACGCGUUAAGUCGACCGCCUGGGGAGUACGGCCGCAAGGUUAAAACUCAAAUGAAUUGACGGGGGCCCGCACAAGCGGUGGAGCAUGUGGUUUAAUUCGAUGCAACGCGAAGAACCUUACCUGGUCUUGACAUCCACGGAAGUUUUCAGAGAUGAGAGUGUGCCUUCGGGAACCGUGAGACAGGUGCUGCAUGGCUGUCGUCAGCUCGUGUUGUGAAAUGUUGGGUUAAGUCCCGCAACGAGCGCAACCCUUAUCCUUUGCUGCCAGCGGUCCGGCCGGGAACUCAAAGGAGACUGCCAGUGAUAAACUGGAGGAAGGUGGGGAUGACGUCAAGUCAUCAUGGCCCUUACGACCAGGGCUACACACGUGCUACAAUGGCGCAUACAAAGAGAAGCGACCUCGCGAGAGCAAGCGGACCUCAUAAAGUGCGUCGUAGUCCGGAUUGGAGUCUGCAACUCGACUCCAUGAAGUCGGAAUCGCUAGUAAUCGUGGAUCAGAAUGCCACGGUGAAUACGUUCCCGGGCCUUGUACACACCGCCCGUCACACCAUGGGAGUGGGUUGCAAAAGAAGUAGGUAGCUUAACCUUCGGGAGGGCGCUUACCACUUUGUGAUUCAUGACUGGGGUGAAGUCGUAACAAGGUAACCGUAGGGGAACCUGCGGCUGGAUCACCUCC
This 740-nucleotide ribosomal RNA is filed under the name uncultured bacterium. RNAcentral's name for it is "bacterial SSU rRNA". It matches the Rfam family "Bacterial small subunit ribosomal RNA", at positions 790 to 1530 of the family's 1533-position model. The record is from RNAcentral.